RNAcentral lists this ribosomal RNA (207 nucleotides) under uncultured bacterium. RNAcentral's name for it is "partial 16S ribosomal RNA". It matches the Rfam family "Bacterial small subunit ribosomal RNA", at positions 568 to 774 of the family's 1533-position model. The record is from RNAcentral.
CGUGUAGGCGGUUGGGUAGGUCCGUUGUGAAAACUCGAGGCUCAACCUCGAGACGCCGAUGGAAACCCCCCAGCUAGAGUCCGGAAGAGGAGAGUGGAAUUCCUGGUGUAGCGGUGAAAUGCGCAGAUAUCAGGAAGAACACCCGUGGCUAAGGCGGCUCUCUAGUACGGUACUGACGCUGAGACGCGAAAGCGUGGGGAGCGAACA